GAUGAACGCUAGCGGCAGGCCUAACACAUGCAAGUCGAGGGGUAACUAGAGUGAUAGCAAUAUUACUUUGGCUAGACCGGCGCACGGGCGCGUAACACGUAUGCAACCUACCUUAUACUGGGGAAUAACUUCGAGAAAUCGGCGCUAAUACCCCAAAACAUUGCGAAGAGGCAUCUCUUUGCAAUUAAAGCUCCGGCGUUAUAAGAUGGGCAUGCGUCCAAUUAGCUAGUUGGUGAGGUAACGGCUCACCAAGGCUACGAUUGGUAGGGGUUCUGAGAGGAUGAUCACCCACACUGGUACUGAGACACGGACCAGACUCCUACGGGAGGCAGCAGUGAGGAAUAUUGCGCAAUGGACGAAAGUCUGACGCAGCCAUGCCGCGUGCAGGAUGACGGCCCUAUGGGUUGUAAACUGCUUUUGUACGGGAAUAAACCCUUCUACGUGUAGGAGGCUGAAGGUACCGUAAGAAUAAGCACCGGCUAACUCCGUGCCAGCAGCCGCGGUAA
RNAcentral lists this ribosomal RNA (506 nucleotides) under uncultured bacterium. RNAcentral's name for it is "partial 16S ribosomal RNA". It matches the Rfam family "Bacterial small subunit ribosomal RNA", at positions 28 to 523 of the family's 1533-position model. The record is from RNAcentral.